This 465-nucleotide ribosomal RNA is filed under the name Veillonella parvula. RNAcentral's name for it is "bacterial SSU rRNA". It matches the Rfam family "Bacterial small subunit ribosomal RNA", at positions 28 to 469 of the family's 1533-position model. The record is from RNAcentral. Lineage: Bacteria; Bacillati; Bacillota; Negativicutes; Veillonellales; Veillonellaceae.
GACGAACGCUGGCGGCGUGCUUAACACAUGCAAGUCGAACGAAGAGCGACGGAAGCUUGCUUCUAUCAAUCUUAGUGGCGAACGGGUGAGUAACGCGUAAUCAACCUGCCCUUCAGAGGGGGACAACAGUUGGAAACGACUGCUAAUACCGCAUACGAUCUAAUCUCGGCAUCGAGGAUAGAUGAAAGGUGGCCUCUACAUGUAAGCUAUCACUGAAGGAGGGGAUUGCGUCUGAUUAGCUAGUUGGAGGGGUAACGGCCCACCAAGGCGAUGAUCAGUAGCCGGUCUGAGAGGAUGAACGGCCACAUUGGGACUGAGACACGGCCCAGACUCCUACGGGAGGCAGCAGUGGGGAAUCUUCCGCAAUGGACGAAAGUCUGACGGAGCAACGCCGCGUGAGUGAUGACGGCCUUCGGGUUGUAAAGCUCUGUUAAUCGGGACGAAAGGCCUUCUUGCGAACAGUUA